Bombus terrestris (buff-tailed bumblebee) is the source of this 590-nucleotide long non-coding RNA. RefSeq lists it as uncharacterized. Lineage: Eukaryota; Metazoa; Arthropoda; Insecta; Hymenoptera; Apidae. The record is from RefSeq and is a predicted model, not a curated record. The transcript is spliced from 3 exons.
GUUUCAUUCGCGGAUCAAGAAGGAAAAAUAAUAUGAAUUGAUCUUUAACAUUAAAAUUCGCGAGUCGUCUAACGCUUUUUUUUCUGCAAUUAUUUUAAUUAAACUACUUGUUCCGAAAAACAUCACUCAAAGGACACUGAAAUAGACUAUACCAUAGAAAUAACAGGUGGAGGACCGUUAGUGCAACUCGCUUUGAACUUCCGUGGAUAAUACUUGGAACUGGUCAUGUCCUUAAUAUUUUAACAACGUGUAGCAUACAAAAAAGGUCGAUGCUAUUUUCGAGAGGAAAAAUUGAAGAGAGGAAGGAUCACGUAAUGGAUAGAUACUUAUUCGACGGUUCAAAAAUUUUAGGAUGUGGUCAUCGAAUUCGUAUGCAUGAAAGAAACCGAUGUCAUCGAUAUAUAGUCACGGAAGACGACUAACGGAGAAACUUGAUUCGGUCAGAUUAGACGUCCAUUCGGUCGAUGACCUUACUUUUACAUAGUCAAAGAACCUUCUGCUGUUUAUUCAUUGAUCUUUGGAAGCUAUAAAUGAUGACUAAAUUGGGAAACAUUCGUGCCUUUCUUUUUAUGCCUUGAAAUGAACAAGUU